GAUGAACGCUGGCGGCGUGCCUAAUACAUGCAAGUCGAGCGAACAGACGAGGAGCUUGCUCCUCUGACGUUAGCGGCGGACGGGUGAGUAACACGUGGAUAACCUACCUAUAAGACUGGGAUAACUUCGGGAAACCGGAGCUAAUACCGGAUAACAUGUUGAACCGCAUGGUUCAACAGUGAAAGACGGUCUUGCUGUCACUUAUAGAUGGAUCCGCGCCGCAUUAGCUAGUUGGUAAGGUAACGGCUUACCAAGGCAACGAUGCGUAGCCGACCUGAGAGGGUGAUCGGCCACACUGGAACUGAGACACGGUCCAGACUCCUACGGGAGGCAGCAGUAGGGAAUGUUCCGCAAUGGGCGAAAGCCUGACGGAGCAACGCCGCGUGAGUGAAGAAGGUCUUCGGAUCGUAAAACUCUGUUAUUAGGGAAGAACAAAUGUGUAAGUAACUAUGCACGUCUUGACGGUACCUAAUCAGAAAGCCACGGCUAACUACGUG
RNAcentral lists this ribosomal RNA (497 nucleotides) under uncultured bacterium. RNAcentral describes it as "partial 16S ribosomal RNA". It matches the Rfam family "Bacterial small subunit ribosomal RNA", at positions 28 to 507 of the family's 1533-position model. The record is from RNAcentral.